This 32-nucleotide non-coding RNA is filed under the name Rattus norvegicus (Norway rat). The record is from RNAcentral. Lineage: Eukaryota; Metazoa; Chordata; Mammalia; Rodentia; Muridae.
GCCCUCUCUAGACGUCACCAUCUAGAUGUCAC